RNAcentral lists this ribosomal RNA (417 nucleotides) under uncultured bacterium. RNAcentral's name for it is "bacterial SSU rRNA". It matches the Rfam family "Bacterial small subunit ribosomal RNA", at positions 355 to 775 of the family's 1533-position model. The record is from RNAcentral.
UGGGGAAUUUUCCGCAAUGGGCGAAAGCCUGACGGAGCAAGACCGCGUGGGGGAAGAAGGCUCUUGGGUUGUAAACCCCUUUUCUCUGGGAAGAAAGUUGUGAAAGCAACCUGACGGUACCAGAGGAAUCAGCAUCGGCUAACUCCGUGCCAGCAGCCGCGGUAAGACGGAGGAUGCAAGCGUUAUCCGGAAUGAUUGGGCGUAAAGCGUCCGCAGGUGGCAGUUCAAGUCUGCUGUCAAAGACCGGGGCUUAACUUCGGAAAGGCAGUGGAAACUGAACAGCUAGAGUAUGGUAGGGGCAGAGGGAAUUCCUGGUGUAGCGGUGAAAUGCGUAGAGAUCAGGAAGAACAUCGGUGGCGAAGGCGCUCUGCUGGACCAUAACUGACACUCAGGGACGAAAGCUAGGGGAGCGAAUGG